AUGGAAUUGAGGGUGCCUCAUAUGCUUCAUCUUUUUAAUAUCUUUCAUGAGAAUAAGGAUUCCGAUAAUUGUGCUCACUUGCUAGAGGAAGAAUGCAUUAAAAUGUUUGGCACUAAAUAUUUGAAUGAUGAGCAUGAUUGCAAUGUUGUUAGUAUGAAUUCCUUGAAUAUCCAUGAUGCUAAUGAUAUGCAAAGCCACAAGCUUGGGGAUGCUAUGUUUGACGAAGAUGAUAUUUUUUGUCCCCCAAGUUUUGAUGAGCAAAUUUAUUAUGAUGAUAGCAUGCCUCCUAUUUAUGAUGAUUAUUGUGAUGACACGUAUGCUAUAAAGAAUAAUGAUAACCAUGAAACUUGCCAUCUUGAUUUUAUUUUUCAAUUGGAUUAUGCCUCACAUGAUAGUUAUUUUGUUGAGUUUGCUCCCACUACUAUUGAUGCUUAUGUGUAG
This 441-nucleotide ribosomal RNA is filed under the name Triticum aestivum (bread wheat). Its description in RNAcentral is "partial small subunit ribosomal RNA". Lineage: Eukaryota; Viridiplantae; Streptophyta; Magnoliopsida; Poales; Poaceae. The record is from RNAcentral.